GCUCCGCUGACGAGUGGCGAACGGGUGAGUAAUACAUCGGAACGUGCCCAGUAAUGGGGGAUAGCUCGGCGAAAGCCGGAUUAAUACCGCAUACGCCCUGAGGGGGAAAGUGGGGGACCGCAAGGCCUCACGUUAUUGGAGCGGCCGAUGGCUGAUUAGCUAGUUGGUAGGGUAAAGGCCUACCAAGGCGACGAUCAGUAGCUGGUCUGAGAGGACGAUCAGCCACACUGGGACUGAGACACGGCCCAGACUCCUACGGGAGGCAGCAGUGGGGAAUUUUGGACAAUGGGGGAAACCCUGAUCCAGCAAUGCCGCGUGUGCGAAGAAGGCCUUCGGGUUGUAAAGCACUUUUGUCAGGGAAGAAAUCCUUUGGGCUAAUACCCUAGGGGGAUGACGGUACCUGAAGAAUAAGCACCGGCUAACUACGUGCCAGCAGCCGCGGUAAUACGUAGGGUGCAAGCGUUAAUCGGAAUUACUGGGCGUAAAGCGUGCGCAGGCGGUUGUGUAAGACAGGUGUGAAAUCCCCGGGCUUAACCUGGGAAUUGCAUUUGUGACUGCACGACUAGAGUGUGUCAGAGGGGGGUGGAAUUCCACGUGUA
This 599-nucleotide ribosomal RNA is filed under the name Brevundimonas abyssalis. RNAcentral describes it as "bacterial SSU rRNA". It matches the Rfam family "Bacterial small subunit ribosomal RNA", at positions 82 to 677 of the family's 1533-position model. The record is from RNAcentral. Lineage: Bacteria; Pseudomonadati; Pseudomonadota; Alphaproteobacteria; Caulobacterales; Caulobacteraceae.